Molecule: ribosomal RNA, 804 nt
Filed under: Notocomplana humilis
Lineage: Eukaryota; Metazoa; Platyhelminthes; Polycladida; Notocomplanidae
Description: partial 28S rRNA
Rfam family: Eukaryotic large subunit ribosomal RNA
Source: RNAcentral
GGCGGCAUCUUCGUGAAGGAUAGGUGCACUUUCUUCUUGAUCGGACCACGACCAGCGACUUGCUUGCCUGACAUGGGUCGGAAGGUAGCGUUGGCUUCGGCGAACGUGUUAUAGCCGCCUAUUCGGUAGUUGAGCGAGGCGUUGGAUGCGAUGAGUUGGCGCUUGCCCUCUGGGCUCGUACGUUGCCUCUUUCAGGCGUGUCGCCGAUUUCACUGCCUUUGGCAGGGGUGUCGGAGAUGUGUCGGUUAGAACGGUGGCCUCUGCGAUUGGCGUCGAAAGUCUGUGGUUGUGAAGUAGGCAGUCCACCUGACCCGUCUUGAAACACGGACCAAGGAGUCUAACAUGUGCGCGAGUCAUUGGGCUCUACGAAACCUAAAGGCGAAGUGAAAGUAAAGAUCCAUUUCCAUGGAUUGAGGUGGGAUCCUGAGUCACGUGCUCGGGCGCACUACCGGCCCGUUCGACAUGUCUUCAUGCGGGCGGAGCAAGAGCGUACACGUUGGGACCCGAAAGAUGGUGAACUAUGCUUGCGCAGGUCGAAGCCAGAGGAAACUCUGGUGGAGGACCGUAGCGAUUCUGACGUGCAAAUCGAUCGUCAAACGUGAGUAUAGGGGCGAAAGACUAAUCGAACCAUCUAGUAGCUGGUUCCCUCCGAAGUUUCCCUCAGGAUAGCUGGCACUCUGGAAACGAAACAGUUUUAUCCGGUAAAGCGAAUGAUUAGAGGUAUUGGGACGAAACUGCUCUCAACCUAUUCUCAAACUUUAAAUGGGUAAGAUGCCCGACUCGCUCAAUUUGGAGCCGGGCUUC